GAAAGAUGUUUUAAGAAAUAAUUUGUUUCCUUACUGUUUUAAUUUUUUCGAAAAGAAACAUCAUUUUCGAGAAACUUCAAGAAGAAAGUUAUUAGUAUGUACAGCGUAAUUUUAUUACAGCUAAAACUGAUGCAAGGCAUUGGCACAGUGAAUGGCAGCUGAAAAAUUUUGACCCUUGUUUCUGGAAGUGAAAUGUUAGAUGGUUUGAUGAAGUGCCACAGAGAUUAUCGCUUAAAGAAUGCGUGCAGGCCAACCACCAACACAAGAUAUUAAAAGAGCAAUGAAAAUGAAGAUUUAACUAUAA
This is a long non-coding RNA of Stegodyphus dumicola, 304 nucleotides long. RefSeq lists it as uncharacterized. Lineage: Eukaryota; Metazoa; Arthropoda; Arachnida; Araneae; Eresidae. The record is from RefSeq and is a predicted model, not a curated record.